UACGGAAGGGGCAAGCGUUGUUCGGAAUCAUUGGGCGUAAAGGGCGCGUAGGUGGUUCUGUAUGUCUAUCGUGAAAGCGUACGGCUCAACCGUAUUUUGUCGGUAGAAACUGCAGGACUUGAGGCUGGGAGGGGCUGGUGGAAUUCCCUGUGUAGCGGUGAAAUGCGCAGAUAUCAGGAGGAACACCGGUGGCGAAGGCGGGUCUCUGGGCCGAUACUGACGCUGAGGAGCGAAAGCGUGGGGAGCGAACAGG
Molecule: ribosomal RNA, 253 nt
Filed under: uncultured bacterium
Lineage: Bacteria
Description: partial 16S ribosomal RNA
Rfam family: Bacterial small subunit ribosomal RNA
Source: RNAcentral